This 639-nucleotide ribosomal RNA is filed under the name uncultured Actinomycetes bacterium. RNAcentral's name for it is "bacterial SSU rRNA". It matches the Rfam family "Bacterial small subunit ribosomal RNA", at positions 785 to 1426 of the family's 1533-position model. The record is from RNAcentral. Lineage: Bacteria; Bacillati; Actinomycetota; Actinomycetes.
CCCUGGUAGUCCAAGCUGUAAACGGUGGGCACUAGUUGUGGGAACCUUCCACGGUUUCUGCGACGCAGCUAACGCAUUAAGUGCCCCGCCUGGGGAGUACGGUCGCAAGACUAAAACUCAAAGGAAUUGACGGGGGCCCGCACAAGCAGCGGAGCAUGCGGCUUAAUUCGACGCAACGCGAAGAACCUUACCAAGGCUUGACAUAUAGCGAAAAGUGGCAGAGAUGUCAUGUCCGCAAGGGCGCUAUACAGGUGGUGCAUGGUUGUCGUCAGCUCGUGUCGUGAGAUGUUGGGUUAAGUCCCGCAACGAGCGCAACCCUCGUUCUGUGUUGCCAGCAUUUAGUUGGGGACUCACAGGAGACUGCCGGGGUCAACUCGGAGGAAGAUGGGGAUGACGUCAAAUCAUCAUGCCCCUUAUGUCUUGGGCUGCACGCAUGCUACAAUGGCUGGUACAAAGGGCUGCGAAACCGUAAGGUGGAGCGAAUCCCAAAAAGCCAGUCUCAGUUCGGAUUGGGGUCUGCAACUCGACCCCAUGAAGUCGGAGUUGCUAGUAAUCGCAGAUCAGCAACGCUGCGGUGAAUACGUUCCCGGGCCUUGUACACACCGCCCGUCACAUCACGAAAGUCGGUAACACCCAAAG